Molecule: non-coding RNA, 207 nt
Filed under: Chloroflexota bacterium
Lineage: Bacteria; Bacillati; Chloroflexota
Description: 6S RNA
Rfam family: 6S / SsrS RNA
About the family: E. coli 6S RNA was the first non coding RNA to be sequenced, but its function was unknown until recently. It consists of 184 nucleotides that fold into an extended hairpin structure with a large single-stranded internal bulge.
Source: RNAcentral
GGGACCCUGCCGUGCCCGUGAUGUGGUAUCGACGCUUUGACCCAACACCACCAACAUCGGGGCCACGACUUUGUCUGGAGGGCAGUCACAUGCCCACUCGCUUGAUGGGUGGCGCAAGCUACCCGGAUUCGGGCUUUCCAACAGGACGGCACCCACCUGCACUUGCAGGUUCAAAACCGGAGACGCACACGACACGGCGGGGUCCCC